RNAcentral lists this long non-coding RNA (411 nucleotides) under Vigna radiata. RNAcentral describes it as "long non-coding RNA (VRAD_LNC016554)". The record is from RNAcentral. Lineage: Eukaryota; Viridiplantae; Streptophyta; Magnoliopsida; Fabales; Fabaceae.
AUGCCAUCAAAAGGACUUUUCCAAGACUUGUAAUGAGGUUGGGCUAACAAGAAAAAUUGGUUUUUCUAGAAAACAAAAUCCUUGAGUUAAGAGAGCUAUCAUAAUAUUUAACAAUUAAGCACAACUCUCUUUCUCACCAAUCUCACUUAUUACCAACUUCUUCCCUUUUCUUUUACAUUGAGCUCACUUUCAUGCUUUUCUUCUUUUCUUUUCUUUUUAUCAUGCAUUUUUUUCUUUCUCAACAUUUGAGCUCAAUGCUUUACAAUUGCUUUUCAAUUUUCUCCCACACAACCCCAAACUUGAACCUUUUCAUCGCAUACAAUUAAGCUCAUCCCAACUCAAGGUAAAGAAUUUCAAGACAAGGGUUCACAUCCUGUUUAAGGCUAAGGUUCAAAAAGGGUAAUAUUUUCA